This 650-nucleotide long non-coding RNA is filed under the name Erythranthe guttata (spotted monkey flower). Its description in RNAcentral is "long non-coding RNA (EGUT_LNC002164)". Lineage: Eukaryota; Viridiplantae; Streptophyta; Magnoliopsida; Lamiales; Phrymaceae. The record is from RNAcentral.
GACGAACAAUUAAGCAAAAUCGACGAGCAACAGAGAAAAAUCGACGAACAACAGAGCAAAAUCGACAAGCAACAGAGCAAAAUCGACGAGCAACAGAGCAAAAUCGACGAACAACAGAGCAAAGUCGACUAACAAUUGAGCAAAAUCCAUGAACAAUUGAGCAAAAUCGACGAACAAUUGAGCAAAAUCGAUGAACAAUUGAGCAAAAUCGACGAACAAUUGAGCGCACAAAUGAAAUUGAGAGAAGAAGAAAAAGGCGAAAGUUGACCUUCGGGUGAUGUCGUAGAAGAAAAAGGCGGGUCAAAUGAAAUCGACGAACAAUUGAGCUCAUCGAGCCAGCGGGGAACACUGUCAAAAGUUGACCUUCGGGUGAUGUCGUAGACGACGAGUGCGCCGAACGCGCCGCGGUAGUAGGCGGAAGUUUAUCCUUGAACAACCUCCGGUUUAUGGCGGCGAAGAUUUGCUCCGCCUCCAUCGCCGCCGUCCUCACAAUCCCUGGUUGCAGUCAUCUGAGACUCUCCAUGGCGGCAGCGAAUAUGGAGUAUUGAAAUUUUGGUUGGGAUGGGAUCUUGGCUGAGCCUUGGGAUGGGUUGGAUUUUGGGAGGGGGUGGGUUACAGCUCUUUUCUUUUUUUUAAAGCUUUAAUUUUUU